UACGUAGGGUGCAAGCGUUGUCCGGAUUUAUUGGGCGUAAAGGGUGCGUAGGCGGUUUGGCAAGUCUGAUGUGAAAUCUAUGGGCUCAACCCAUAGUCUGCAUCAGAAACUGCCGGGCUUGAGUAUGGGAGAGGUGAGUGGAAUUUCCGGUGUAGCGGUGAAAUGCGUAGAUAUCGGAAGGAACACCUGUGGCGAAAGCGGCUCACUGGACCAUAACUGACGCUGAUGCACGAAAGCUAGGGGAGCAAACAGG
This 253-nucleotide ribosomal RNA is filed under the name uncultured bacterium. RNAcentral's name for it is "partial 16S ribosomal RNA". It matches the Rfam family "Bacterial small subunit ribosomal RNA", at positions 524 to 776 of the family's 1533-position model. The record is from RNAcentral.